This 15338-nucleotide long non-coding RNA is filed under the name Nicotiana benthamiana. RNAcentral describes it as "long non-coding RNA (NBEN_LNC031311)". The record is from RNAcentral. Lineage: Eukaryota; Viridiplantae; Streptophyta; Magnoliopsida; Solanales; Solanaceae.
UUUAAACUACUUUCCAAGCCCUUUUGAAGAAAAGGUACCUUUUCCUCUUUUUGAUAAAAAAAGAGAGAGAUCCAUAUGUUAAUCUAGAGCGAGAGAAAGCCAACUGAGAAUAGGAUCUUUCACUGAUUAACAAAUAAAGACCAAAAAACGAGCAGAAAUUCGUGAUUUUUUAUUCACUGCUUUGCACAUGCAUUGUAAUCCUAUCGGUGUAUUCACUUUCUAGGACCACAUGGAUAUGUUUCUUCUUUUUGAUGAAUAGCCUGAGUAGGAUUUUCUUAAAUUUCUCUCAUUUUUUUGGAAACAGAAAGAGUUUUUAUGAUGAGCUUUUGGAGUGAUAUACGCAAAGACAGGACUAGUUGUCUAAGUACAUGUGAAUUUAGCUGGGUUGGCAUUUAAACCUCAAUUUUUUCUGAAAGUUCCCAUUAUAAAUAACAACAGCUACCCAGUAAAAUCCCACCAAGUGGGGUCUGGGAAAGGUAAUGUGUACACAGCCCUUACCCCUACCCCAAUAGGGCAGAGAGGUGUUUCCGAUAAACUCUCGGCUCAAAAAGACGUAAAUAAAAAAUAAGAAAAGACAAUACAUUAGUAACUCCAGUAGAAACCAUAAUAGUAACUGAAGCAUAACAACCAAAAGAUGGAUGACAUGCAAUAACAGUAAAGUAACCAGUAUCUAAGGUCCGGUGCUAAGAUAAACAGCAAGAAUAGUGUGGAUUCAACAUAAACUGCAAGCCAUCUAAGAUCAAGCCUAAUCUAAACCCGCCUCACCCCCGGUAUGAAGUAAGGAAAGUUCUACUACCCCUAACCUACAACCCUAAUGCUUGACCUCCAGGCCUUCCUGUCAAGGGUCAUGUCCUCGAAAAUCCGCAGUCGUACCAUAUCCUGUCUGAUCACAUCUCCCAAUACUUCUUCAUGUCCUCGGAAAUCUGCAGUCAUACCAUUUCCUGUCUGAUCACCUCUCCCCAAUACUUCUUAGGCCUCCCUCUACCUCUUCUCAUACUCACCAUGGCUAACCACUCACAACUACUCACCGGUGCAUCAAGCCUUCUACUCUGUACGUGCCCGAACCAUCUGAGCAUCGCUUCCCGCUUCUUGUCAUCCACAUGAGCCACGCCCACCUUCUUUCGAAUAUCUUCAUUCCUAAUCUUGUCUAUCCUAGAAUAUCCCCACAUCCACCUCAGCAUCCUCAUCUCUGCUACCUUCAUCCUCUGGAUACGGGAGUUCUUAACCGGCCAACACUCUGCCCCAUAUAACAUGGCUGGUCUAACCACAGCUCUAUAAAAACUUACCUUUGAGUGUCAGUGGCAUUUUCUUGUCACAUAAGACUCUAGAUGCAAGCCUCCAUUUCAUGCAGCCCGCCCCUAUACGGUGAGUGACGUCCUCAUCGAUUUCUCCGUCCCCUUGAAUCAUCGACCCAAGGUACUUGAAGCUAUCUCUCUUGGGAAUGACCUGUGAUCCAAGCCUCACGUCCCUUGCCUACUUCCCUCGACUAAGCGCUAAACUUGCACUCCAGAUACUCUGUCAUAGACAUCCUCAAUUUGAAACCCUUAGACUCAAGGGUCAGUCUCCAAACCUCCAAUCUCUCGUUAACACCGCCCCCCGUCUCAUCAAUUAGAACUAUGUCAUCAGCAAAUAACAUACACCAUGGCACAUCCCCUUGAAUAUGGUGUGUCAAUGCAUCCAUCACGAAGGCAAAUAAGAACGGGCUAAGCGCAGAGCCUUGGUGUAAUUCCAUAACAACCGGAAAAUGCUCCGAGUCGCCUUCCACAGUCCUAAGCUUAGUCUUAGAUCCAUCAUAUAUGUCCUUGAUCGCUCUUAUGUAGGCUACCGGCACGCCCUUUGCCUCAAGACAUCUUCAGAGCACCUCCCUAGGAAUCUUGUCAUACGCUUUCUCCAAGUCAAUAAACACCAUCUGCAGAUCCUUCUUCUUAUCCCUGUACUGUUCUCCCAACCUCCUAAUAAGAUGGAUAGCUUCCGUAGUGGAGCGACACGGCAUGAACCCAAAUUAAUUGUCGGAUAUAAACGUCCUCUUCCUCACCCUUAUUAUAAAUGUGGAACCAAUUUCCUCUGGACUUCCAAAUUUAUCAUUUAACUUAUAUGUUUGAAUGUGAAGAGUACAAGAAACAUCUUUCUCUAAGAAAGAACACACACCUCCUUUUUGGUCUUGAUAUGUGCUCUGGAUGUCUUACUAGUAAAAAAUUGAUUAGCUCUAGCUAAUUUUUCUCUGUUGGCUACUUAUGCUAUAACUUCCUAGUAACAUAUGGUGAAAAUAGUUGAUCUCCGUGAAUCAGCAGGGGCUUGCAAUCAAAAGCAAACAGGGAAACUAUUAUGUAAUUUAGAAAAAAGAACCCAGCUUUGUACCCUUAAUUUUUGAGUUUUGAGCUUCUCUCAUUGUAUGACUUGUCCUUGUAUGUGCCAGUUGUGAGAACAUCUCAUAUCAUUUUCCACUCACUUUAGGCGAACUUGCUGAAAUUCUUACUACUGUUAUGUAUCUUUUUCUUUCUUGGCAUGGGAAAGCUCAACAAACACAUCAUUUGCACAACCUUCUGGGAUUUCAUUAUCACGUGGUAAUUCUCUUAACGCGUAAUAGGUUGUUCUUAUUUACUGGUAUACUGUUUUUACCUUUUCUUUGAAACCAAUUGAUUUACUUUUUUUUGUAGAUCUAAAGGAGGCAUAUAUUGCUGAUAGUGAGAGUAGCUCCAUUCGGGCAGUUGAUCUAAGAACUGGAGGUUCAAGAUUACUGGCUGGUGGUGAUCCAAUAAUGGCCGAAAACUUGUUUAAGGUAUUUCUGUUUGAAGCCAAAAAAUGAUAUUUUGAUUCUCUAUUAUGCUUAAGUUACAUUUGUGACACAACAAAACUUGCUAAGGAAACAUUUACUGGGAAAACUUGUUUAGGGUAUUUCUGUUUGAAGCCAAAAAAAAAAUGAGAUUUUGAUUCUCUAUUAUGCUUAAGUUACAUUUGUGACCCAUAAAAACUUGCUAAAGAAACAAUUACCAGUGCAGUUUGGAGACCAUGACGGAAUAGGCUCUGAAGUUCUUCUUCAACAUCCAUUAGGUGUUUUAUGUGGAAAGUCUGGCCAAAUUUAUAUUGCAGAUUCUUAUAAUCACAAGGUACUUAAAAAACAAACUUCUUGACAGUAAAUACAAAAUUUUAUGACAUCUAUGAUGUUUUACACACUUCUCCUAGUAAUAUUAUCUUAUUUUGCUUUCACUAGUUCAGAAGAAAUUUAAUUGCUUUAUAUGUAUGUCUAUUCAAGCUUCUGGGAGAGGAAUUUUGUCAUAUAGAGCUUGGGUUUUAGUGAUCGGGACCUAUUUUAGGUUUACUAUGAGAUAAGAAUUGGUCCAAAUUUUUGUUCAUGAUCUAAGUUGUCUAACUUAUACAUGAAUGCUUUCAGGCACACUCCCCGAGGAGCCUGAGAACCCGGAAUCCUGAGUUUUUACAACACUUUUGGAGAGCCACCAUUGACGCGAGCCUAUCCCUGAAAACAGCUCCGGCAAAGUCCCUUACACGCGCCGCCAAGCUCCGGCGAGCCUCCACCAAGCGCCGGCGCGUGAGCACCGGGCCAAAUUUCAACUCUCUUCUUUUGGACAGCCUUUUCGCCCCCUUAUUCCGACCCCUUCCAUCCAUGAAGUUUUAGAUUCCGACCACUUUUCUUUAUUCCGGUGACGGGGAGUCCUUUUUUACCGGCCAGUUUUCAAACUCUUUUCAGUCAGGCCAAAAAAGAAAAUCUUUUGCAAGCUAGCAUAGAAAACAAGUCUUUCUUCAUUGCUGGUGAUAAAUCUUUUUAAGCUGGUCGAUACAGGAGAAGGAUGGUUCGUGAUAAUUGAAAGGGGCAGACGAUUCUUGGCCAAAAUCAGUUUAGACGAGAACCUUCGUCGGGUGUGUGGAGCGCUCUGGCAAGCAUCAAGAGUUGGAAGGGGAUUAUUACAGGCGAUGAGGAUGGAAGUCACAAGCAUAUGCAUACGGAGUAUUUCAAAAUUUCAACACAUAUGGCAGAUUCAUCCGAAUAGAAACGUGGUCAGGGGAUAGGAAAAAAGCAAUAAUUAUUCCUGAAUCAGUUUACAAUGGGGGAUGGGGUGACAUUGCUAAUAAGAUUUUACAUUUUCUGGAGGAGCUACCCACAAACAGAUACAGGCAGGCUUAUGCUCCUCAGAUAAGAUAUGCCGAUAUAGUAAAGAUCAAUCAGUGGCCGGAGAUCUCAGCAACGAAGGCAGGGAGCAUCACAGCAGAAGCAGCUGACCAGAAUCACCAAUUUCUCUCGCGGUGUUUGGUCGGAAUUUUCAACGACCCUUUCAACUAUAGCCCUAAUCAAGAAGUAAUUCAAAAGUGGUUCUCGAAUAGGUGGAAGAUUUUUGCUGGUCUGAGAGUCACCCCCUUCUCUCACAAUCAGUUUCUAUUUGAGUUUCCUUCAAGACAAGAAGCGGCGAGAAUACAUGCUGGUGAAUGGUUUUGGAACGAUCGUCGCCUGUCUCUUGAGUGGUGGUCACCGGCGGCAGGUACUGAUUUGGGAUGCCAGAGGUCAGAAUACAAAUGGAUCAAGGCUUUUGGUAUUCCUAUCCACGCGUGGUCACUCGAAACCUUCAAGACUAUUGGUGAUCUUUGUGGUGGUUUCGUCGGAAUAGAUGAAGACACAAAGCAUCGCAUUCACUAUUCUUGGGCGAGAAUCUGUGUUAAUAUUAGCAGGAACAAAUGCCCAGACACAAUUGAGCUUGAUGUGGAGGAUUGGAGGUUUGAGAUCUCGAUUCUAAAGGAGGUUGCUGCUACCCUAAGCCAAUUCCAAUCCGAGUCCAGUUAGAAGGGAGAAGUGCCGGAGAUGUAGGAGAGAAGAAACCGGGGAAAAUCUCGGGGAUUGUAGCAGAAGAGGAAGUACCAUCGUAUCACGUGGGGAGUCAGGUGAGAGAGGAGAACUUUAAUUCAAAUUUAUCUGGCCCCACUCCAAGUUAUUUGGACAAUAGGGCGGGGAAAAAACAUCUCCUGACCCGGUCCAGUCAAGCAAGAUGCUCAAGAGCCAAAAGUCCAUUAUUUUUGGGCCCAAUAGAAUCUCAGUCAUAUUAUUUUAAAGCUCCAAGUCUGAAGGCCCAAACAGAGGGCAAAUCAAAGAAGGCCCAUUCUGUAUGGAGAGUAAAAGACCAUUGUCCUCAAUUUCAUAUCAACAGCUCCAAAUACCACCGAUGCUCAGCUAACAGAUAAGUCACAUAAGACUCGCAUCCAUGGAGCUAGGGCAGAGUCGUCUUUGCAUGCAACCAUCAACGAAACUGAAGCGGACAACGAAGCAGAUGAUGAAGCAGAAACUUUUGCAAACAAUCUCACGAGUCUUUCAAAUCGUCUAAAUUGGUCAGAUGCUGCCUCUACAGCUCUUGUUUGUUCGGACACUGAUUCAUGCAGCGAGCCACUCUUCCUACCCUGGCAUGACGAAAAUCUCAUGCAAUCACAAGUAGUUCAUCAUCCCAACGCAAUAGAUACUUCUAGAUGGGCAAAAGAUGAUGAACNNNNNNNNNNNNACGACCUUGGCAUGACGAAAAUCUCAUGCAAUCACAAGCAGUUCAUCAUCCCAUCGCAAUAGAUACUUCUAGACGGGCAAAAUUGGUUAUGGGUAAAGCAUGCAAAGCCUUCGGGAUCAAUUCAGUUGGGUUCGAACAUGAACUCCUGGAUUUAAUCUUGAGGAUGGAUCAGAAUCGACAAACUCUAAUUCAGAAGAGAGGGUCACCUGCCUCAGCAAAUAAAAAGGGGAAAUAGAGGUGCAAAAUUUAAUUAGCUGGAUUAACUACGACGGGUGUAGUAGCAAAAGGGGCAGGCAUUGCAAGAUUGUAUCAAGAUGAAAGUUAAAAUCCUAAGUUGAACAUUCAGGGUCUCAAUAAAAGGAAAAAGAGAAGUAUUUUAGCAUCACUAGUUCGAAAAUGGAGGGCAGACAUAUUGUGCCUACAGGAAACCAAAAUGGAAAAUAUACCAACUAGUAUCAUUCAUCAUAUUUGAGGGAACGGGUGGGCUGAAUGGGUAGAGUUAAAAGCUUAUGGUACUAAAGGUGGCAUUAUCAUAUUAUGGGAUAAACGUUUGUGGAAAUGCAUUGACUCUCAUCAAGACAUCUACACAAUCACUUGUAUGUUUGAAAGCUUGCAGGAGGAUUUCAAGUGGUCUUUUACCGGAGUAUAUGGACCACAUACCAACCCUGAAAGAGAAGAUUUAUGGCAGGAAUUGGGUGCAAUAAGGGGUAUCUGGGAGGACAAAUGGGUGAUUGGAGGGGACUUUAGUGUAUGUAGAUAUGAGAUUGAAAGACUCAAUUGCUCCAUAAGAUCCACAGCUAUGAGGAAUUUCACAGAAACUAUUUUGGAUCUCCAAUUAAUUGAUCUACCACUUCAUGGAGCACAAUACACCUGGUCAAGGGGAGAAGACAUUCUACAGGCAUCGAGGAUAGACAGAUUUCUUGUUUCUGCAGAGUGGGAAGAGAGCUUCAAAGAAAUCAAGCAACUGGCUCUUCCAAAACCAAUUUCAGACCAUAGACCAUUGUUGUUGGAGUGUGGAGAAUGGGAUUCUACACAUUCCUAUUUCAAGUUUGAAAAUAUGUGAUUACAACAAGAAGGGUUCAUAGACAUGUUGAAAGGUUGGUGGCAGAGUUACACGAUAAGGGGCAGUCCGGAUUUCAUUCUCUCUCAGAAAAUGAGGAAUCUGAAAAAUGACAUCUCCAAUUGGAACAAGGAAACCUUUGGCAAGCUGGAAGUCAGGAGAAACAAAGCAUUGGAAGAACUAGUUGCAUUAGAACACAUCACAGAAAAUAGAAUCGCAAUACAAUCUGAAAAGCAGAAAAUCUGGAGUUUAAAAGUGGAGCUCGAGGAACUAGCCAAAGCUGAAGAAACAUCUUGGAGACAAAAAUCAAGGUGUCAAUGGUUAAAAGAGGGUGGCAGGAACACAAAGUACUUCCAAUCAAUUGCCAACUCUCAUAGAAGAUUCAACAAUAUCGACAAGCUCCAGGUGGAUGAUGAUUUAAUAGAAGAAAAAGCAAAAAUCAAAGAAGAGUUCUGAGCUUCUACCAGAACUUGUACACAAAGAAUGAGGGAUGGAGACCUACAACUAAUUUUGAAGGAGUUGCUACAUUUUCAGGGGAAGCCAGAGAGAUGCUAGAGAAAGUUUUUGACGAAGUCGAAGUACAUAAUGUUAUUCUUUCAUGUGCCCCAGAUAAAGCUCCAGGUCCAGAUGGCUUCACAUUGGCUUUUUUCCAAAAAUCGUGGGAGUUUAUCAAACCAGAUGUGAUGGAGGGCUCUCAACCAUUUCCAUCAGCAAUGUUACAUGGUGAGAUCAUGCAAUGCUUCUUUCAUUGCCCCGAUCCCUAAAAAGAAAAGGGCAAUUGAGCUUAAAGACUAUAGGCCAAUAAGCCUUAUUGGAAGUGUUUAUAAGAUUGUGGCCAAGUACCUAAAAAGAAAGGGGCAAUUGAGCUCAAGGACUAUAGGCCAAUAAGCCUCAUUGGAAGUGUUUAUAAGAUUGUGGCCAAGUUGCUAGCAGGAAGGCGGAAGAAGGUUAUUGGUAAACUUGUGUCCAGUCACCAGAACGCUUUAAUCAAACAUAUACAGAUCACAGAUGCAACACUUAUAGCUAAUGAGACUUUAGAUUGGAGAUUUAAAACUGAGGAUCCUGGUAUUAUGUGCAAGCUGGACAUAGAGAAGGCUUUCGACAAACUUAACUGGUCCUAUCUAAUCUCUAUACUAAGGAGGAUGGGAUUUGGAGACAAAUGGAUGAGAUGGAUCAGAUUCAGCAUCUCAACAGUGAAGUACUCAGUUUUAGUCAAUAGGGAACCAGUGGGCUUCUUCUCCCCUCAAAGAGGGAUCAGGCAGGGAGACCCACUCUCCCCUCUCAUGUUCAUUCCAGCCAUGGAGGGACUAAGCAAGAUACUUGAAAAAGCCAGAGAAAUGCAGUGGAUUCAGGGAUUCAAAGUAGGCUCCAAUAUUGGGAACUCAGUCACUGUUUCUCACCUGCUAUAUGCUGAUGAUACUUUGAUCUUCUGUGAGGCAGAUAAAUCGCAAGUUAUGUACCUGAACCUCACUCUUCUCCUCUUUGAAGCUCUGUCAGGGUUACAUGUAAAUGUGCUAAAAAGCAUAAUGUACCCUAUCAAUCAAGUGCCUAAUAUGGAGGAGCUGGCAAGCAUAAUGGGUUGCAGCAUUGGGACUUUACCUUCAACAUACUUGGGCCUACCAUUGGGUGCUAAAUUCAAAAACUAUGAGGUAUGGAAUGGGAUCAUUGAAAAAUUUGAGAAGAGACUAUUCUCCUGGCAGCUUCAAUAUAUAUCCAGUGGUGGCAGAUUAACUCUCAUCAACAGUGUGCUUGACAGCAUACCAACAUACUUCAUGUCAUUGUUUCCCAUUCCAAAGAAAGUUCUAAAGCAAUUGGAUAGAAUCAGGAGAAACUUCCUAUGCGAAGGAAAUAACAACACCCACAAAUAUCAUCUGGUAAAGUGGGACAAAGUCACUCAGCCGAAAUGCAAUGGAGGAUUGGGAGUUAGAGAUCUAGCAACCCAUAAUAAAUGCCUAUUAAUGAAGUGGCUCUGGAGAUUUGGCGGGAGAUUCAAGCCUAUGGAAGGAAGUAAUCAUUGCAAAGCAUGGGAAAAAAGAUAACUGGAGUACUAAAAGUUCUAAUGCACCUUAUGGUGUGGGUCCUUGGAAGUACAUCAGCAAAUUGGGGAGUGAAUUUUUCCGGUGCAUCUACUUCAAACCAGGCAAUGGGGCUCACAUAAGAUUCUGGAAAGAUAAAUGGCUAAACAAUUCACCACUCACGGAUGAGUUUCCUAGCCUAUAUCAGAUUUCUCUACACCAGAACUCCUCUAUAGCUCAAAACAGAAAUGAUAGCAACUGGGAUGUUCACUUUAUAAGAGCAGUGCAAGACUGGGAAAUUGACAGCCUAUUUGAUUUGCUAGCAAAAGUGGAGGGGUAUACUAUUGAUGUGAGCCAACCAGAUACCAUAUGCUGGGGAAGCAAGGGCACCUUCACAGUAAAAGAAUGCUACAGGGAAACUGAUUCCCAGAACCAGGUGUUAGAUGCUUGGCCCUGGAAGUUAAUAUGGAAGACCAAACUGCCUAUCAAAGUCAUUUGCCACAGCUGGAUUGUACUUAAUGAGGCUUGCUUAACUCAAAACAACCUCAAUAGAAGAGGUUUCCAGUUGGUCAACAGGUGUUACCUAUGUCUGAGAGAUGCAGAAACUGUCAACCACCUGUUUUUGCAUUGCCCUGUGGCUUUUGACCUUUGGAAUAUGUUCCUUUGCAUUUUUGGCUUGAUUUGGGUCAUGCCACAAAAUAUGAAAGAGGCACACUUGAGCUGGAGUUUAUGGAUAGCCUUUGGAAUAUGUUCCUUUGCAUUUUUGGCUUGAUUUGGGUCAUGCCACAAAAUAUGAAAGAGGCACACUUGAGAUGGAGUCUAUGGAGAGUUGACAAGACCAUCAAAAAAGUCUGGUUGAUGAUUCCUGGUGCUAUUUUCUGGUGUCUAUGGAAGGAAAGGAAUAGAAGAUGUUUUGAUGGAAUCUCAAUUCCAAUCCACACUCUCAAAGCAAACUGCCUACUCAAUCUUUUUUGCUGGACUAAAUUAGCUUCUGUAAUUAGCACUGACCAAUUUUUGGACUUUGGCAGCUCCCUGGUCUUAGAUUGACAUAUAAAGAGAGCUACAAUUUCUAUUUCUUCUUUUUUUCUGCAUUUCAUUACUUUUGUAACUUGCAUCUCCUUGAUGCCUUUUGCUAAUGAAACACCUUAUUGCAUCAAAAAAAGAAAUGUAAUUGCUUUAUUAAUUUAAUUUUAACUAUGAUGCAUAUUUCUUUGUCAAAGUAUCUUCUCAAUCACUACUUUAAUAUAUGUUUCUAUUAUUAUCAAUAUAUGAUUCAAGUGGAGAAGACCAAACAGAUAUGCUUCUAGAAGAUAGACCUCAAAAGGAAGAAACCUUAAAUGCAAUUAUUGAUGGUAUUAUCAGAUUUGGUUGCGUAACUGCAUUCUUCAUUUCGUUUUUGGUAGGAACCCAUGAAUGUAUGUGCGAUAGUAAAAACAUACUCUUUAUUCCCCAUCUCCCUUUAAAUUACUAUUAUCCUUUCUCUCUCUCUACCAUCAUCAUAAGAUCCUUCGAUGGGUUUUGGCAUGAAUCCCAUAUGGUUUUAUUAACAAUUGUCCAUCAAAUGAAAGAAGGAAGAAAUAGGCCCUUGAGACCCCUUGCUCCUUUUUUUAGUACAUAUUCUGGAGUCUUGUUAAGUUAUUUGGACUUGUCCAAAGCUCGUCAUAUUAACUUACACCUUUUUGGUGUAAAAAAACGUUUUGGAUGGGGUGGAUAUGUGAAAAGUGGGAGAGGAGAAGAUAGAAGAGGGAAGAGCCUUUAGUGAGAUUGAAACCCAGGGGUGAAAGAUUUAGUUGCAACGACUUGUCCAUAACACUUGAUAGGAGUGUUUAAUAGCAUUUUGACUUGCACUUAAUAUCAAGGUGACAGCAUGUCAACAAUGAUACAACAUAUAAUGUAGAUUUUGGUUUCCUACUUUUGAAUAAAUAUACGAUUGAGAUGUCAAAGCCAAUAAAUAUAAGUAUGCUUAACCUAAAAUUGAGAUGUGUAAAUAAAUUUUUAUCUGCUGAAAUUGUGGUGCCUGAUGGCAGAAUGAAGAACAUAAGCGAAAUAUUAGGUUUCCAAAGUUUGUGGCCAUAUUGCUGCUUUAAGAUGGCAUAUGUGGAGCUUCUUCUUUCAAUCAGCUAGUGAGCUUGAAUUGAGAUAUUUCAUAUGCUUCUAUUUGCUGUUUCAAGUUCAAAGAAUCCAUUUUCAUAUUUCAUAUGUAACUUAUGAUACGACAAUGAACUACUUGUUUUCGUACUGUAACAGACACAUCUCUAUGUAAGUUGAAGCUUCUCUUUUUUGUUUAACUUGCCAGAUUAAGAAACUAGAUCCAGUUAGUAGAAGGGUGACUACAUUAGCUGGUGUUGGUCAAGCUGGUUUCAAAGAUGGAGCGGCAGUGGCAGCUCAGGUUGGAAAGAGUUCAUAUAUCUUUUCUUACGUAUAUUGUGUCCUAGAUACUAGUGCUACACUAAUUGGCAUUCAUUGCACCCAAGCACAUAUUAUGUUUACAUAGACACUCGAUAACAUUAGCAUGGAAUUGAGUAACUAGUAUCACCGCAUACACCAUAUUAUUUCUCCAAAAUGAUGGACAUAAUAAGCUUCUGGCAGGUGAGCGUUUUAAAUAUUUAGCAUUUUACUUGGUAAAUCUGUGGUUGCAUGUGUAAAUAACCUCUUUAGUUAUAAGGCCCUCUUUUUGUCAAAAAAGAAGAUAUUAUAAGGCCCUUGUACAAGUGCGACAUCCCUUCACCCCUUUUUCUGCCUUAGAUUUCAUAAGAAUCGGCAGUAGCAUGUGGAUCUAUUGUCUUUGGCACAGAUGCUGAUAUUUCUGUUCUUUUUCCUCAUCUUUUUCUUUUCUUAUUUUCAAGUGGAGUAGUGGACUUGUAUCCAAUGCGUAAGGAGCAAGGAAAAGAAGAAACAAAAGACAUUUGUCUUGGACCAUUGCGCUGUUUGACAUGAUCGAAACACUUUAGUAAGACCUAAGAGUGCCGUUAGGUAAUCCAGCAAGGAUAACUGUAUCAGAUACCUGUUCACUUAGGUCUCUGAAAGUUUUGGACAUUUUAUAAAGUAUCCAAGUUUUUAGAUGCCCGGAAAAACUUUAAGAUGUUCUGUACAAAAAAUAAGUGUGAGAAUGCACGGGAGAGAAAUAUUAUUAUUGAAAUUUGUUACUCAAUAUAAUACAAGAGGUCCUAUUUAUAGCUGUAGUCGACAAAGUACAUAUUACUCGCACUCCAAUGUGGGACUAUACAUAGCUAACACUCUUUCUCUAGCCGAUGCAUGCACAUCAUAUGUACCAAGCUUGUUACACAUGUAACUAAUACGAGACCAGUAAGAGACUUAGUGAAAAUAUCUGCUAGUUGAUCAUUCGACUUUACAAACUUUGUAACAAUAUCUCCUGAAAGUAUUUUUUCUCUAACGUGGUGACAGUCGAUCUCAAUGUGUUUAGUCCAUUCAUGGAACACCGAAUUUAACCCAAUAUGAAGAGCAGCUUGGUUAUCAAAUACCAGUUCCAUCUUACUGAUUUCUCUGAACUUUUAACUCCUUGAGCAAUUGCUUGACCCAAACUAACUCAUACGUUGCCAUAGCCAUGGCCCGAUAUUUGGCUUCGGUGCUAGAUCGAGCAACUACGUCAUGUUUCUUGCUCUUCCAAGAGAUCAAAUUACCUCCUACUAGAACAAAAUAUCCAAACUCAGAACGUCUAUCAAGUGAUCCUGCCCAAUUACCAUCUGUGUACCCAACAAUCUGCCCAUGCCCUCGAUCCUCAAAUAGUAAUCCUUUACUUGGAACUAACUUUAUAUAUCGAAAAAUGCGAACAAUUGCAUCCCAGUGACUAUCUCAUGGAGAAUCCAACACUGACUUACAGUACUCACUAGAAAAGAAAUGUCAGGUCUAGUCACUAUGAGGUAAUUCAAUUUGCCAACCUACGUCCUAUAUCUCGUGGGGUCUCUAUGAGGCCCGCCCUCUCCUGGCAGAAGCUUAGCAUUCGGAUCCACUGGAGAGUCAAUAGAUAUGCAACCCAUUAUUCCAAUCUCCUCAAGAAUGUCUAAGGCAUACUUGUGCUAUGAAAUAGCAAUUCCUAAGCUAGACUGAGCGAUCUCAAUACCUACAAAAUACUUCAAUCUGCCCAGAUCCUUAGUCUGGAAGUAUUGAAAGAGAUGCUGCUUUAGAUUAGUAAUACCAUCCUGAUCAUUGCCAGUAAUAACAAUAUCAUCAACAUAAACCACCAAAUGAACACACAGAUUAGGAGCAUAAUACCGAUAAAACACAGAGUGAUCAGCCUCACUAUGAGUCAUGCCGGACUUCUGAAUAGUUGUGCUGGAUUUACCAAACCAAGCUCGAUGGGACUGCUUCAAACCAUAUAAUGACCAGCACAAUCUGCAUACACAACCACUAAACUCUAAUUGAGCAACAAAACUAGGUGGUUGCUUCGUAUAAACUUCCUCCUCAAGAUCACCGUGGAGAUCUAACUGAUAGAGAGGCCAAUGACGAGCCAUGGACAAAAAGAGGCGAACAAUGCUACUUUUGCCACGGGAGAGAUAGUAUCACUAUAAGCAGGCUUAAAAAUCUGAGUAUAUCCUUUUGCAACAAGACGAGCUUUAAGCCGAUCAACCUGGCUAUCCGGGCCGACUUUGACCGCAUAAACCCAAGGACAACCAAUAGUAGACAUACUUGCAGGAAGAGGAACAAGCUCCCAAGUGCCACUCGCAUGUAAACCAGACAUCUCGUCAAUCAUAACUUGUCGCCAUUUUCGAUGAGAUAAUGCCUCUUGUAGAUUUAGGGAUAGAAACAAUAGACAAAGAAGAUAUAAAAGCAUAAUGAGGUGACGACGGACGAUGAUAACUUAAACCGACAUAGUGGGGAUUAGGAUUAAGUGUGGAUCGUACACCUUUGCAGAGUGUAAUUGGUUGACUAAAAAGAGACAAGCCCGCAGUCAGUGCUGAAUCUGAGGCAGGGCGUGAAUCACCUGGGCCUGAUGCUGGAUGUGGACGACAAUGAUAAGUCAAGAGAGGGUGGAGCUGCAGAAGGUUGAACUGGAUUAUGUGAAGGAGCUAGAGCUAUAGAUGGUGGAGCUACAACUGGAGCUGUAGGUGCCAAGUGGUAGUACUGGAGAUGUAAAGGAAGAUGAAUGGUAGAUAGUGACUGAAUCUCCAAAAGAUGAAACUGGUAGUACCUCAUAAAUAUCUAAGUGAUUACCUGAACAUGUGAAGUAUGAUUGGGUUUCAAAGAAGGUAACACAUCGGACAUAAGGUACCGCCGGAGGUUAGGAGAAUAGCAUCGAUACCAUUUUGUGUUCUCGAGUAACCCAGAAAUACGCACUUAAGAGCUGGAGGAGCUAACUUAUCUGUUCUUGGACUAAGGCUAUGAACAAAACAAGUGCUUCCAAAGAUACAAGGUGGAAGAGAGAACAAAGAUAAGUGGGAAAACAUGACAGAGAAUGGAACUUGGUUAUGGAUAGCUGAAGAUGACAUAGGAUUAAUAAGCUAGCACGAUGUAAGAACUGCAUCUCCCCAAAAUUGCAACAGAGCAUGAGAUUGUAUGAGUAGGGUACGAGCAGUUUCAAUAAGAUGUCUAUUCUUUCUUUCAGCUAUCCCGUUUUGUUGAGAUGUGUACGGACUAUGAUAAGAAUGGACCUUGGACCUAACUCAACCCCAAAAGCUAGCUUAUGAGGUGAGGAUUCCCCAAGCCAUAUAAGGAGACCAAGGACCUCAAAUCCCUCCGAUGUGGGACAACUCAACAGUCCAGAUGUUUGAUAAAUAAUCCUAUGCGAUUCCAUAAACUGUUGAAAUGGGGAAGCCAAAUACUCUCAUUCAUUAUCACUACAAAAUGUACGAAUAGAAACCCCCAAACUGGUUUUGAAUUUCAGCGUGUAAGGUCUUAAAAAUAGAAAACAACUCGGAUCAUUUUUUAUCAAAAAAAUCCAAGUGCACCUGGAAUAAUCAUCAAUGAAACUGACAAAGUAGCGGAAUCCCAAGAGGGAACUGUCUCAACUAGGAUCCUAAACAUCUGAAUGGACUUAAGUAAAAGGUGACCCUGCUCGAUUAUCAAGACGCCGAGGAAAAUGGUAGCGAGUAUGCUUACCUAGCUAAUAGGACUCACACUCUAGAGCUGACAAGUGAAAUAAACCAGGUACCAUUUUUUGAAGUUUUGAUAAACUAGGAUGUUCCAACUGUUUAUAUAAUAAAUCUGGUGAAUUAGUAACAGGACAAGAUGUGAGUCUAUGUGAUUUAGCAAGGAUAAGAUACAACAACAACAACUACCCAGUAUACUCCCACCAGGUGGGGUCUGGGGAGGGUAAUAUAUGAGCCAACUGAUCUAAACAUUUACAGAACUGCACCAGAACAACUGUGAGCCCGAAAUAGAGAGAGACCAGAUCAAUCACAAUUAUAGCAACGAACAAAUACUCGCAGAAAAAUUUAAACAAUUUAUUCAACAAAUUUAAAUGAGUACAUAAAUAAAGAGAAAUUACGUAUGCGGUGCGGGAGAUGGAGUAAUCAAUCUUAUCAGUGAUAAACAACAACAAACAAAAGAGCAUUAGUAACUCCAGCAGAAGUAGCGUAAAUAAUUAUCUAAACAUAAGAAACAUAGAUAAAAUAGCAUGCACUAAUAUCAUUCAGUAACUACUAUAAAUAACUACCAUAAGGGAGACACAAGCUAAAACACAAAUCAUCUAUGGAUAGCCCUACCAAGCCUCACCCAACCCUGGGUGAGGUACGAAAAACUCUAGGAGGCCCUAUCCUACAACCCUGAUACUAGACCUCCAGACGUUCCUAUCAAGGGUCAUGUCCU